This 433-nucleotide ribosomal RNA is filed under the name uncultured bacterium. RNAcentral's name for it is "partial 16S ribosomal RNA". It matches the Rfam family "Bacterial small subunit ribosomal RNA", at positions 29 to 507 of the family's 1533-position model. The record is from RNAcentral.
AACGGACGCUGGCGGCAUGCCUAACACAUGCAAGUCGAACGAAGGCUUCGGCCUUAGUGGCGCACGGGUGCGUAACGCGUGGGAAUCUGCCCUUUGGUUCGGAAUAACAGCUGGAAACGGCUGCUAAUACCGGAUGAUGACGAAAGUCCAAAGAUUUAUCGCCAGAGGAUGAGCCCGCGUUGGAUUAGGUAGUUGGUGGGGUAAAGGCCUACCAAGCCGACGAUCCAUAGCUGGUCUGAGAGGAUGAUCAGCCACACUGGGACUGAGACACGGCCCAGACUCCUACGGGAGGCAGCAGUGGGGAAUAUUGGACAAUGGGCGCAAGCCUGAUCCAGCAAUGCCGCGUGAGGGAUGAAGGCCCUAGGGUUGUAAAGCUCUUUUACCCGGGAAGAUAAUGACUGUACCGGGAGAAUAAGCCCCGGCUAACUCCGUG